GCUGGUUUAGCUCACUGGUUAGAGCGCUCCACUAUCCAAAACACAAGUUAUGACAGGAGAGAAGGCUGGUUCAAUUCCGCCAAUCGGCA
Non-coding RNA from Blastocladiella britannica, 89 nucleotides. NCBI's taxonomy places the organism in Eukaryota, Fungi, Blastocladiomycota, Blastocladiomycetes, Blastocladiales, Blastocladiaceae. The record is from the annotation of a GenBank genome assembly.